This is a non-coding RNA of Bactrocera oleae (olive fruit fly), 1278 nucleotides long. The record is from RefSeq and is a predicted model, not a curated record. NCBI's taxonomy places the organism in Eukaryota, Metazoa, Arthropoda, Insecta, Diptera, Tephritidae.
AUAAAAAUUUUCAACAAAAUUUGAUAUGGGUUAUUAUCCAAAGCAUAGGUGCAAUCUCCGAAGAAAUUGCUGUGAUCAGGCCGCUAAAGCAUAUACUCGGUACAUAUGUACCUGUCAUACAAACUUAAUGAUCGGAAGCAACUGCUUUUAUACUUGACUAGAUAGCUUCAAGAAAUUUGGCAUGGGCUAUUCUCUACGGCAUCGCUGCAAUCCCUGUAGAAAUUGUUGCAAUCAGGCCACUAUAGGACUAUAUUCUGACAAUAAUUCAAAUUUUUGCUACUCUAACACAUACAGAUAUGAUUAUCGAUAUUUUGCUUUAGUUAUAAUCGGAAACAUAUGUGCUUGCAUUAGAAGCCAAUUUCGAUUGGUAGUUUGUUUUUGACAACAGAAAUGGUUAGUCUUCGAUUUUUUCCUUUUGAAAAAAAUGGAUCAAAGAAUAUGUAUUAAAUUUUGCGUUAAAAAUGGAAUAAAGCACUUGAGGACGAGAAGAUGUUGACGACGAUGAACAUUCUGGAGGUGCGACCACGUCAACAAGCGAAGAAAACAUCGAAACAGUGAAAAAAAUUGGGUUUGAAAAUCGUCAAAUCACUAUUGGGGAAGUUGCAGAGAAGUUAGCAUAUCAAUUGGCUCAUGCUAUUCAAUUUUCUCGAAUGUUUUGGGCAUGAAAUGUGUGGCAGUUGGCUCAAGAUGCCAAAAGAAAAUGAAGGAAAGGAUGACAUUUUGCCACAAUUGAUAAGAUCAAGUCAAAAUAGAAGAAAGAGCUGAUGACCAUACCGAAAAGAGCAUUUCAGAAGCGCUUCGAGGAUUGGAAAAAGCGUUGGCAUAAGUGUAUUGUAUCCGAAGGGGAUUACUUUGAAGGGAACAAAAUAGAUAUUUAUGAAUAAGUAAGAACUUAAAAAACAAAAAUCAAAAUUCACCUUUUCCUUUAAACACACCUCGUACAUAUGUAUGUAUGUAUGUAUUAUAAUAAUCAUUAACAUGGUAAUUUUUUCCAAACGGUAGAAAAAGUAAAAAAAAAACACUAUUUUUUGACUCUUAAUUGCCUUUUAUUUUCUUAACAAUACAAAUUCACAGACUAAUCCAGUAGUUAAGUGUUAUCGUAUUCCGCCAUAUACGAAAAGACAUUUUAAAUAAUGUAAACAUAGAAUUUAACGUUGAGACUAAUUAUUCAUAUAAACAAUUCAUAUCAAAAAUAUUUUAACAUCCACUAAUACAAAUAGUAUUGCAGUUUAUAAAUAUAAUAGUUUUUCGUAAUAAAUGUUUGUAUAAAAAUAUGCA